CCUACGGGGGGCAGCAGUGGGGAAUAUUGCACAAUGGGGGAAACCCUGAUGCAGCGACGCCGCGUGAGUGAGGAAGUAUUUCGGUAUGUAAAGCUCUGUCAGCGGGGAAGAAAAUGACGGUGCCUAACCAAGAAUCCCCGGCUAACUACGUGCCAGCAGCCGCGGUACUACGUAGGGGGCAAACGUUAUCCGGAUUUACUGGGUGAAAAGGGAGCGUAGACGGCAGGGCAAGUCUGGAGUGAAAGGGGGGGGAUCAACCCGCGGACUGCUCUGGAAACUGCCAGGCUGGAGUGCAGGAGAGGGAAGUGGAAGUCCUAGUGUAGCGGUGAAAUGCGUAGAUAUUAGGAGGAACACCAGUGGCGAAGGCGGCUGACUGGACUGUAACUGACGUUGAGGCUCGAAAGCGUGGGGAGCAAACAGGAUUAGAUACCCUGGUAGUC
Molecule: ribosomal RNA, 440 nt
Filed under: uncultured bacterium
Lineage: Bacteria
Description: partial 16S ribosomal RNA
Rfam family: Bacterial small subunit ribosomal RNA
Source: RNAcentral